GACGAACGCUGGCGGCGUGCUUAACACAUGCAAGUCGAACGGAAAGGCCCUGCUUUUGCGGGGUGCUCGAGUGGCGAACGGGUGAGUAACACGUGAGUAACCUGCCCUUGACUUUGGGAUAACUUCAGGAAACUGGGGCUAAUACCGGAUAGGAGCUCCUGCUGCAUGGUGGGGGUUGGAAAGUUUCGGCGGUUGGGGAUGGACUCGCGGCUUAUCCGCUUGUUGGUGGGGUAGUGGCUUACCAAGGGUUUGACGGGUAGCCGGCCUGAGAGGGUGACCGGCCACAAGGGGACUGAGAGACGGCGCAGACGCCUACGGGAGGCAGCAGGGGGGAAUAUUGCGCAAUGGGGGGGAGCCUGAGGCAGCAACGCCGCGUGCGGGAUGACGGGCUUCGGGUGGUAAACCGCUGUCGCCUGAGACGAGGCGUGAGUGACGGUAAUGGGUAAAGAAGCACCGGCUAACUACGUG
Molecule: ribosomal RNA, 468 nt
Filed under: uncultured bacterium
Lineage: Bacteria
Description: partial 16S ribosomal RNA
Rfam family: Bacterial small subunit ribosomal RNA
Source: RNAcentral